UGCGUAGACGGUUGCGUAAGUCGGAUGUGAAAUCCCCGGGCUCAACCUGGGAAUUGCAUUCGAGACUGCGUAGCUGGGGUGCGGAAGAGGGAAGCGGAAUUUCCGGUGUAGCGGUGAAAUGCGUAGAUAUCGGAAGGAACAUCAGUGGCGAAAGCGGCUUCCUGGUCCAGCACCGACGUUCAGGCACGAAAGCGUGGGGAGCAAACAGGAUUAGAUACCCUGGUAGUCCACGCCAUAAACGAUGAGAACUAGACGUUGAGAGGGUAAGCCUCCCAGUGUCGUAGCUAACGCGCUAAGUUCUCCGCCUGGGGAGUACGGCCGCAAGGUUGAA
This 331-nucleotide ribosomal RNA is filed under the name uncultured bacterium. RNAcentral describes it as "bacterial SSU rRNA". It matches the Rfam family "Bacterial small subunit ribosomal RNA", at positions 568 to 898 of the family's 1533-position model. RNAcentral also lists the same sequence under 1 other name. The record is from RNAcentral.